GAAGAUUACGUUGAUGCAGGGCGGGAAUGUGUUCUCAAGUGGCUGUGUGUACCUCAACGAAGACCCAGCAAAUCUUGUCAGGGAGUUCGUGGCAGAAGACGAAGCCGCCAUCAAAGAAUCGAUUGAGGACACCACGGUGGGAAUAUUUGUCGUGAAAAAUGAUGCAACCAGUGGUCCAGAGGACGUGGGGAUUGUCCUGGAAGGCCUGCAGAUAAUGCAAGGACUGGACAACACUGCAUUAGCUGCUGCCAUAUUGUUUGGCCUAAUGUAUGUAUUGAACCUCAACUACCCUCCUGAGCUAAAGAACAUGUUUGAAGUGCGCCAAAAAGUUGUGAUGGAGCUGGACGGCACCACGCUCUCAAAGAAAGCCCAAGUUCUCAAAAACAGACUGAGUGAGCUGUUGUCCUAACCCUGCUCAUUGACUUGAUUCUGGACUGUACACAUGCAACUUUGCGGUUCUUUGUUCUUGUUCUUGCAGUAUUUACAUACAGCAUGUCUACUGUAUUAUCAAAUGAAUGUUUUCUCUGGAGCUCAUGCGUUCCCAAAAUGUGACUCGGAUUUGCUGUUUUCUCUUAAAGUAAUAGAGCUGCUGAAUGAGCAGUUGCCAUGGACUAUGUUUGCUCUGUGAAUGCACUUGUCUUUUGACAUGCACUCAUGCAGCUUUAGUUUUUCCUUCAUUCUUUUGGCAGUACUUAGAUUCUUGGAAGAAUUACAUUUUUCGUAGUAUUAAUGAUGUUUGUCUAGGUCUACUCAUUGUUUGUUGUGCGGUGAUUCAUUCAAAACACUGGCAGUACUUUUUUAUUUUAUUAUUUUAUUAGAAUUUUAUGCAAAGUAAAAAAAAACAUAAUGCAACCUAACAUGUUUUGGGAUUUCAGUGUUAAAAAUGUCUAGUGUUUUCCAAAAAUGUCCAAACUAUUGCUAUUUGAAGGUGGAGUCAGCGAUUAAGGGGAAUUCUUGUUGUCAAAAUCAGUGAAUAUCUCAUGAUGCACUACCUGUCCGUACUUAUGUGCUAUAAAUCUUUUGUUAGUGCUCAGCCUCUGUAAACCAAGGACCUAUGGACAUGCAAUUUGUAGGCAGGACAAGCAUUCUCCAGAGUCAGCUCUAAGUUUUACAUGCCUAACACUGGCUGUGCUAUUUUAUUUUAUUUCAUUUUAAUCGACCAAAGUAAUGGGAUUUCAGUGUUAAAUGUUGUAUUGGGAUUUCAAGCUUUGGGAUUUCAGUGUUAAAUGUAGUAUUUGAAAGAAAUACAAUAGAAAGUUGGUUAUUUGUGCCUUAUUUAGUCUCAUACUUACUUGAGCAGUAAGUAUGAGACUAAACAUUUAGUCAUACUUUUUCAACUUUUUUUUUACAUGUUUUGAAAGAUGAAUCACAUUAUUUUCUGUCCAUAUACUGUUAUAUUACAUCAAAUAUAAAUUAUUUUACAACCUUUUUCCAUUAAAAACCAGCUAAGAACAGCAAAUUUCUGUCCAUUUAAUCAGUAUUAUUCGUAAUACAACAUUUAUUUACCAUAUUUCUAGGUAAUUUCAUCGUUUUAAAAUGUGAAUGUUUCUAAUUAAACAUUAAAAACAACAUGAAAAUAAGGCAAAAUCUUGUUAAAAUUACAACUUUAAACUGUUUUAAAAUGUGAAUGUUUCUAAUUAAACAUUAAAAACAACAUGAAAAUAAGGCAAAAUCUUGUUAAAAUUACAACUUUAAACUGUUUUAAAAUGUGAAUGUUUCUAAUUAAACAUUAAAAACAACAUGAAAAUAAGGCAAAAUCUUGUUAAAAUUACAACUUUAAACUGUAUUUUAAUUAUGGAAAUUAACCGUAUUUUUACGAGAAAGAAAUUAUCUGUUAUUUCACAGUAUUUUUCUGGCACCCCAGCUGCCAGAAUAUUACCGUUUUUUUACGUUGUUUUUUUUUACAGUGUGUCCACGGGAAUACUGGUCCAAUGAGGGACAC
RNAcentral lists this long non-coding RNA (1942 nucleotides) under Gadus morhua (Atlantic cod). RNAcentral describes it as "lncRNA (ENSGMOG00000036800.1)". The record is from RNAcentral. Lineage: Eukaryota; Metazoa; Chordata; Actinopteri; Gadiformes; Gadidae.